AUCCAGUUGAUGAGUCCCAAAUAGGAUGAAACGUGCGUCUUUUAU
Non-coding RNA from Schistosoma curassoni, 45 nucleotides. NCBI's taxonomy places the organism in Eukaryota, Metazoa, Platyhelminthes, Trematoda, Strigeidida, Schistosomatidae. The record is from Rfam.